GAUGCACGCUAGCGGCAGGCUUAACACAUGCAAGUCGAGGGGCAGCGCGGAGUCACAAUACUCUGGCGGCGCCCGGCGCAAGGGUGCGUCACGCGUGAAGCGAACAUACCCGUGACUGGGGCAUCACCGAUGGAAACGUCGCCUAAUUCCCCAUAAUACAUUGGGCUGCAUGGUCCGAUGUUGAAAACUUCGGUGGUCACGGAUUGGCUCGCGUCCCAUUAGCUAGUCGGCGGGGUAACGGCCCACCGAGGCGACGAUGGGUAGGGGUUCUGAGAGGAAGGUCCCCCACAAUGGAACUGAGACACGGUCCAUACUCCUACGGGAGGCAGCAGUGAGGAAUAUUGGUNCAUGGGCGGAAGCCUGAACCAGCCAUGCCGCGUGCAGGAUGACGGCCCUAUGGGUUUAAACUGCUUUUGCCGGAGAGCAAUAAGGGCAUUCGUGCAUGCCCGAUGAGAGUAUUCGGCGAAUAAGCAUCGGCUAACUCCGUGCCAGCAGCCGCGGUAAUACGGAGGAUGCGAGCGUUAUCCGGAUUUAUUGGGUUUAAAGGGUGCGUAGGCUGUGCGUUAAGUUCAGGGGUGAAAUGCCGUUGCUUAAAAUUCGGAGCUGCCCCUUGUAACUGGCGUGCUGGAGUACGAAUGCCGUUGGAGGAAUGAGAAGUGUAGCGGUGAAAUGCAAUAGAGAUGACUCAGAACACCGAUUGCGAAGGCAGACUGACGAAGACCGGAACUAACGCUAAGGCACGAAAGCGUAGGGGAGAGAACAGACUGAGGAACCGAGGACGACCCCGGAAAGAUGCAGGAGCCAGAACACAGGCGGCCGCGAGAGCCAUGCAGAGAGAGGGCCCCAGGAGCCCGAAGAAGAGAGGAGAGGACAAUUGCCGG
Molecule: ribosomal RNA, 881 nt
Filed under: uncultured bacterium
Lineage: Bacteria
Description: bacterial SSU rRNA
Rfam family: Bacterial small subunit ribosomal RNA (bases 1-786)
Source: RNAcentral